AUGACACCUCCAGAUUCUCCUGUCUCCAUCAUCUCCCAGAGCUGCCAUCACACCAAGAGGGAGAGGGGGUGCGGGAUGGCCACCGGCUUCUCUUUGCCCAAGGGAUGGGAACGUGUGAGUAUGUCCCUGUGCUGGCAGCCAAGUCACUUUGUGCUCAUUCUCCCUCAACACCUGGGCAGUGCCAGGGCACCUGUCCCCUGGCUGGAUCGGGCUGGUCUGGGCUUCAAGGCUGUGCAGCUUUGCUGUGGGGUGGGGAAUCCACCUUUCCCCUUCCCUUCUCUUGUUUCUUUACCUUUCCUUUCAUUUUCCCCUUCCCUUUUUCUCUUUCCCCUUUCUUCUUCCCUUCCACCUUUUUUUUUUCCUCCAGUCUUAUGUCUCUUUACCUUUUCCUUUUUUGCUUUCUUUUUCCUUUCCUUUCCUUCCCCCCCUUACCCCUUUCUCUAUCCUUUUCCCUAUCCCUUUUUCUUUUCCUUUUCCUUGUUUCCUUUUCCUUCCGCUAGUUUUCUUCCUUUUCAUUUCCAUUUCCUCUUCCACGUUUUCCUCUUUUCUCUUUCUCUUCCUGUUUCCUCUCCCUGUUUUCAUAUUUUCUUUUUCCUUUCCCGUUUCUUUUUUUUUUUUUUUUUCCCCUCAUUUCCCUUUCCUUUUUGUCUCCUUUCCCUUUCAUCCUUCUUACUCCCCCUCUUUCUCCAUAUCUUCUUUUGCCUUUCCCCCUUUCCUUCUUCUUUCCAUUUCUCUUCUCUCUUCCCUUUUCCCUUCCCCUCCUUUCUGCAUGCUUGUCCUUACACAUCCCGAUACCCACCACUCGAGGAUUACAGCUGCUUCUGCCCGGCGGCAGCGGGCGGAGAACGGCGGGGCGCCCGCCGGGGCCCGCAGACCGGCCCGGGAGGGUGCAGCCCCGCAGAAGAGACGCGCAGCUCCCACAGCCCAGAGCUCGGAGCCCCCUACCCCCGCCGGUCGCGGCGCGGAUCACGUCCAGGCGCCGGCGCUGCGCUCGCACCUCGCCGGGUCCGGGGCUCUGUGCUCCCGGGGAAGGUGCCCGCCCCGACCAGCUCGCGCGGCCGUAGCCCCCGCCUCGCUCUCACCUCCGAGCUGGUCUCGUCGGACCCGAGACGGACAUCAACGCCGGGGCGCCGAGCGGCCGGACGGGCGAUGCAUGUGGGCUAG
This 1164-nucleotide long non-coding RNA is filed under the name Phasianus colchicus (ring-necked pheasant). Its description in RNAcentral is "lncRNA (ENSPCLG00000006932.1)". Lineage: Eukaryota; Metazoa; Chordata; Aves; Galliformes; Phasianidae. The record is from RNAcentral.